This 209-nucleotide long non-coding RNA is filed under the name Lathyrus oleraceus (garden pea). Its description in RNAcentral is "Pisum sativum (pea) long non-coding RNA (PSAT_LNC018088)". The record is from RNAcentral. Lineage: Eukaryota; Viridiplantae; Streptophyta; Magnoliopsida; Fabales; Fabaceae.
AAGACACACCCCAUACUUGCUCUCCAAGAAACCCCUGAAAGUUGGUACUGCUGAAGUAAAUGAUCAAACGCGACUUUCCGUCACUUGACUGACACAGGAAUACUUUGCACCCGAGACAAAGACGAAGCUACAUCGCACUAGAGGUAUCUUGGAACCUGUAAGCUAUACCAAACAUGGAGAGGAUCAUAAAAAAUCAAACACUUAUCAUU